AACGAACGCUGGCGGCAGGCUUAACACAUGCAAGUCGAACGGUUGUAGCAAUACAGCAGUGGCGCACGGGUGAGUAACGCGUGGAUAUCUGCCUUUUGGUUCGGAAUAACUCCGGGAAACUGGAGCUAAUACCGGAUGGUUCCUGCGGGGUAAAGAUUUAUCGCCAAAAGAUGAGUCCGCGUACGAUUAGCUAGUUGGUGAGGUAAUGGCUCACCAAGGCGACGAUCGUUAGCUGGUCUGAGAGGACGAUCAGCCACACUGGGACUGAGACACGGCCCAGACUCCUACGGGAGGCAGCAGUGGGGAAUAUUGGACAAUGGGGCAACCCUGAUCCAGCCAUGCCGCGUGAGUGAUGAAGGCCUUCGGGUUGUAAAGCUCUUUUGGCGGGGACGAUGAUGACGGUACCCGCAGAAUAAGCCCCGGCUAACUUCGUGCCAGCAGCCGCGGU
This 448-nucleotide ribosomal RNA is filed under the name uncultured bacterium. RNAcentral's name for it is "bacterial SSU rRNA". It matches the Rfam family "Bacterial small subunit ribosomal RNA", at positions 29 to 521 of the family's 1533-position model. The record is from RNAcentral.